GAACACCAACCUAAUCUUGAAAGCUGAAGUGGGUUUGGGGAAUGGAAGAACAAGAACAUCUUCUUUACCACCAAAAAUGGUAACAUAAGACCCUUCUUCACUCAUGCUUGUCAUCUGCUCGUGAAUACCGUCCAGUCAAGUCUUUGUUCUUUUAUUCUUAAAUGUGGCUGCUAACCAGAUUCCCCAUGUUAUAUGCGAGGUCAAUAAAAU
RNAcentral lists this long non-coding RNA (210 nucleotides) under Nicotiana benthamiana. Its description in RNAcentral is "long non-coding RNA (NBEN_LNC010490)". Lineage: Eukaryota; Viridiplantae; Streptophyta; Magnoliopsida; Solanales; Solanaceae. The record is from RNAcentral.